UAUAAGGUAGUACACAGUCUGGAAAAGGGAGGGGAUUAACUGAUAUAUAGGAGAGAUGGUGUGGAGUCUAAAGGGACACGAAAAAAAUACACGAAAGAGUUUAACAGAUAGAAAGAAGAGAAAAGAAUCUAAGAGAAACACAUAUUGAUAGAGAGAGCUUAAGAAAAUUACAAGAGAAGAACGUUCUGAAAUACAGAUGUAUAAAGAGAUUUCGAGAGAGCUGAAAAUUCUCACAAAAAGAUAAACAGCUGCAGAUUUUUUACCGUUCCAUUAAGUUUCAACUAUGCAAUUUUGAAAUUUUCACUCCUUUAAUCAAUUUUCUGAUUGUUUGGGCUUAAAAAAGAUUUGAGGUUGAGUCAUUUGAACUUAGUUGAUGUCUCGUUGGUCUGUUAUUUGCUUGAAACUGAUUCUGGACUAUCCGAUCUCACUUCCUGGGUUUGAAAUUAGUUCAAAUUGCUGUUGAUUGCUGCUCUGUAGAUGUUGAUACCUAACCCCGGUUCUCUGUUUCUUCUACAUACCAGGUACAUGUCUCCUAAAAACUUUACAUGUUUGAUGAAACUUCGAUUUGAAGAGUGAAAUGAAAGGCAAGGAGCUUAAAGCAUUAUGUUAACUUAUCUGUGUUUCAGCCAUGUCUUUUCCUAAUGUUUAGUUUUAGAAUUUUUGUCAUUGCCAAUUGUAUACUAUCAUGAGAUUUCUAAGAUUGUUGCAACAACGGUCUAAUUUGGUUGCUUAUGGACUCUGGACUCUUUUUCAGUUUACUAAAGCUUGGUGCAGCCUCAGCUCUAUUUUUUUUUAUUCUAAUUUGUUAGAGGUCAAGUAUGGGUUUAUUGUUUGUGUUGAUUCAACCAAGUUGAGCCUAGUUAGCAUGUUUUAUGUUUCUGGUAGAUAGUUUUUUUUAUUUAUAUCAGUUGUAUUGAGGAUAGAUUCAAGUAAGUUUGGAUGUGUAUUAAAGGUUCUUCAGAUAUCAUAGUGACAGAAGCUCCAUGUUUAGUUUGCGGCGUACCUUGAGACCUUGUAUAAUUUUGAGUUGAGGUUAAUUGAUGAUAUACAGUGAAUGACUGUGUGCAGAUUUGAUAAAAUGGCAAUCUAUUGGUUGCUUUGUGUAAAAUUGGCCAUAUUAGUUUUUCCUACUGCUUUGAUGUCCAGAAUUGCUUUUUAAAAUCAGGUAGUUAGUUAAGGUUUUGUGCAACUGUGUUAAAAAUAGCUUUAAUUUUGUGUAUUGUCAUGUUGCCCCUGCAGGGACUCGAUCCUGGGUCUAAGUAGCUGAUGCACAUUAUGUUUUCAAAUUGGGCUGCCUUGGCUUGGUCCAAGCCAUUAUGAAAUCAGCAGAAUUUUGAUAUGGACUGUUGGGUUUCAUUCAUAGCCCAAAUUUUGGAGUGGUUGUAUGUUUAAAUUUAAGGGAUUUUUACCUAUACAUCACAUAUAGCAAACCUUAUUACAUUAUUGUGCCUUGUUUGGUUAUUACCCUCAUAUUCCAUGUUUUAGUUACCAAUAAUGUACCAAACGAAAAUUUGCUGAUCUUUCACCCUACAAUAACGCCAUUUAUUAAGGC
Molecule: long non-coding RNA, 1552 nt
Filed under: Nicotiana benthamiana
Lineage: Eukaryota; Viridiplantae; Streptophyta; Magnoliopsida; Solanales; Solanaceae
Description: long non-coding RNA (NBEN_LNC030857)
Source: RNAcentral